AAUAAUAAUGACGAAUAAUAUAAAUUUGUAUAUAUAUUGAGACACAUAUGAAUAAACGAAUAAACAUAAUGCCUAAAGCCUAAUAAUAACGAAAAUAUGAGUGAAUAAGAAACGUAAAUAACUAAGUAAUGAGGAAAUAAGUAAAUAACUAAGUAAUGAGAAAAUAUGUACAGUUGCCCCUCUUUGCUUGUUGUCGUGUAACGAGAAUAAAGCAAAGACUCUUAAGAAAGAUCCGUUUGGCCCAGCCACGUCGAGUCUUGACUUCUUUGGUGCUCCUCUUUUUUAGGUAACAUCAUUCAGC
Molecule: long non-coding RNA, 301 nt
Filed under: Gossypium barbadense (sea-island cotton)
Lineage: Eukaryota; Viridiplantae; Streptophyta; Magnoliopsida; Malvales; Malvaceae
Description: long non-coding RNA (GBAR_LNC010949)
Source: RNAcentral